This 554-nucleotide ribosomal RNA is filed under the name Equus caballus (horse). Its description in RNAcentral is "partial large subunit ribosomal RNA". It matches the Rfam family "Bacterial large subunit ribosomal RNA", at positions 1816 to 2597 of the family's 2925-position model. The record is from RNAcentral. Lineage: Eukaryota; Metazoa; Chordata; Mammalia; Perissodactyla; Equidae.
CACCUCUAGCAUUUCCAGUAUUAGAGGCACUGCCUGCCCAGUGACAUCUGUUUAAACGGCCGCGGUAUCCUAACCGUGCAAAGGUAGCAUAAUCACUUGUUCCCUAAAUAGGGACUUGUAUGAAUGGCCACACGAGGGUUUUACUGUCUCUUACUUCCAAUCAGUGAAAUUGACCUUCCCGUGAAGAGGCGGGAAUGACUAAAUAAGACGAGAAGACCCUAUGGAGCUUUAAUUAACUGAUUCACAAAAAACAACACACAAACCUAACUUUCAGGGACAACAAAACUUUUGAUUGAAUCAGCAAUUUCGGUUGGGGUGACCUCGGAGAACAAAACAACCUCCGAGUGAUUUAAAUCCAGACUAACCAGUCAAAAUAUAUAAUCACUUAUUGAUCCAAACCAUUGAUCAACGGAACAAGUUACCCUAGGGAUAACAGCGCAAUCCUAUUCCAGAGUCCAUAUCGACAAUUAGGGUUUACGACCUCGAUGUUGGAUCAAGACAUCCUAAUGGUGCAACCGCUAUUAAGGGUUCGUUUGUUCAACGAUUAAAGUCUU